Elaeis guineensis (African oil palm) is the source of this 1461-nucleotide long non-coding RNA. RefSeq lists it as uncharacterized. The record is from RefSeq and is a predicted model, not a curated record. Lineage: Eukaryota; Viridiplantae; Streptophyta; Magnoliopsida; Arecales; Arecaceae.
UUUAGUAAGUUUGGAUAUCAAUAUCAAAACAUUAUGUUGAUGAACAUAUCAACCGUGUGAAAAUCUAGUCCAAAUUUGACUCAUACUCUAUGGAAAUAAACCAUAUUGCUCACCGUUAUAUAGGGGUGCAAAAGCAUUUGAGCCUAAACUCUCUUUCCAAGCUGCUAUAAAUCCUAUACCAAACCAAAAAAAAAAAAAAAAUUGCGCCAACCCGGCAAGCGUCGGCCAGGGCUUCCAGGGCCUUUCUUCUCUCUCACAGCUUGUUCUCCGCCACCGUCGCCGCCUCCGCCGCGGCUGCGUCCAUCACGGCCGGGAGGCCCUUCGCUUCCACGCUAUUUUCGGCCUUUGGACUUGAGGGUCUUGCACUGAUGUCACUAAGGCGCUUUAUUUGCCUCUUUUGGAACCUUUCACACCUGUAGAAGAUGAUGAUGAUUUCCGUCAGAUGCACCAGAAGAGAGGCUUGGAGAUUUAGUUACACCUGUCCAGAAUUCUGUGAAACAAAUUAUCUGUGAUAUGUUCCUAUGUCAGCCAGAUGCAGAGCUUAAAGAGGGUUGCCAACUCUAUUGUCAGCAGAACAACUUUCAGAGGGUUUGAACUUGUUAUCGAAUCCAGAAACUUUUCUGGAUAGCUUAUUCUAGUGAAGUGUAGAGCCCAGCUCUUUCUUGAUCAUCAGUUGGUAAAGAUCAGAUGGACACAUAGACAUUCUGACUGUAAAGUCAUAACAGUGAAUAUUUAAGUCAUGAAGAUAACUAUGCCAGGAUGUAAAUGCUAUAAUAUAUUGUCAACAAAAUCUGCUAUCUCCAGAUGUCCAUGGUGGCCAAGUAUGGACUCCAUGGACAAUGAGAACUCAUCAUCGUAGUCCGAUCAAAAGUGACAUCGAGCAAGGUGUAUAAGAGGGCCUGGUUUAGCUUUUCGAAAGCAAAAAAGUCUCUUGGAAAUCCAAGGAUAAGGAAACAUACUAGUGGAGCAUCAGCUACUGCCUCCUGUAAUAGAGGUGAGUGGCAUUUUUAAUCUGAUGGAUUGAGUCAACUUCUUAAUGACUUUGCUAUAUUUUCCAGAGCUGAUGAAGUUCCAACUUGUGAGAUAGAAAAUUGCUUGUUGGGCUACCAUAGUAGGCGACAUUGCCUCUCAGUUGAAGAUCCUCUUGUUUCACUCUUUCUAUAUGCUCCAGUAUAGGGAUGCUAUUGAGCAGUCCCAUGCAAUCUUUUUGAGCUUGUCUCUUUAUUUGUUUCUCCAUUUAUUGUAAAGGCUGUUGAUUGUAUACAGAACCGGUGGUAGUUGACCUAAGGAACAGAGUAUUGACCAUACCAAGCUUGCGAAUGCGUAGGUCAUAAUUAGUAGUUUCUUCUACUUCUACACAUAUGAUGCAUCGUAUUGUUUCAAGCUUCUUCUUCUUUAAAACUUUUGUUGUGUGGGUCUUAUUGUGAUAAAUUAACCAAUUAAAAAGCUUGACCUUUUCUA